This is a long non-coding RNA of Neotoma lepida (desert woodrat), 89 nucleotides long. It matches the Rfam family "ZNFX1 antisense RNA 1 conserved region 2". Lineage: Eukaryota; Metazoa; Chordata; Mammalia; Rodentia; Cricetidae. The record is from Rfam.
AAGAAGUACAUAUAGAUAUUGGAGAAUGAGGAGGCUACCUCUGGGCCUCCAGGAAAACCAGAAGAAACCUAUAAUCUUUGAUCUAACCU